UUCACAGAAGUAUAACGUACAUUUACCUUCCAAGUAGAAAGGCUCGCACAGAGAUGUGCCUUUAAUA
RNAcentral lists this transfer RNA (67 nucleotides) under Onchidella borealis. Its description in RNAcentral is "tRNA-Gly". The record is from RNAcentral. Lineage: Eukaryota; Metazoa; Mollusca; Gastropoda; Systellommatophora; Onchidiidae.